Molecule: long non-coding RNA, 1448 nt
Organism: Clupea harengus (Atlantic herring)
Lineage: Eukaryota; Metazoa; Chordata; Actinopteri; Clupeiformes; Clupeidae
Exons: 5
Source: RefSeq, a predicted model, not a curated record
CGUUUGCUCUCGGCGCUGUGCAAUGUGCAGUGCUGGUCGUAUGCGGACCGAGCCGAAUGAAUGAAAGGGUCUUGAACGUGAUACAGGGCUGCGCGUAGCCUACACUGUAAAAGGUUAAAGAUAAAGAGCACAGGAUGCAUCCGCAUUGGAAAACAACAGACAGUUGCUUGAAGAUGAAAUGAAGAAAAGGACACCAAAUGCAGCACUUGUGAAUCAGCUGAUGAACCAGACCUUCUCACUGAGACGCAAAGAAAUCGUCGAAGAGCAGCCUCCUGUGAAACGCAUGUUGGAACGCUGGCCAGCGCUUUUCAGAAAACAGCAGGUUUUUGCAGAGUUCACUAGGGUGGCAAGUAAAGAUCUUGAACUUUUUUGAGUCCUUGGACCGUCACAUCCCUCGAUUUCUCAAGAUCUUUAAGUCCAAGAAGGGUGUUAUUGGCAGGACACUUGCAGAGCUCCUUACUCAAGCUGAAAUGAAGUUUCUUUUCUUGAUUGGUUUUCCCCUCAUUUGCAGACCCAUGAUGUUGUGGCAAGGCGGACAGCUGUCCUACGCUGUCUUGCAGUUUUUCUUGGGGAUGAUGGGAGUGAUUUUUUUCAAAGUUUGUUUUGAUUCAGAUUCCAUCACGGAUUUCACCGAGAUUCCUGUUGGGGUAUUAACCGUCAUACCCGAAGACAGCCCACAACCAAGUCAAAAUGUCCUGCACCUUGAGCCAUCCAGCAUUGCUAUCAUACUGGAAGGUAACAUCGUAAUGGAUGACCUUCAAAAUCAUACUGAAGCUAUUUGCUUGACUUUUGGACUUAUCUACAACCUUCAUUUGGACUAUCCCAGAAGAUUGAAGAACACUUUUGACUUCAUUCAGAGGGUCAUGCUGGAUCUGGGUGUAGGGAACCUUAGGCCAAAACUCCAGAGCUUAAAAAAUGCCCUUUUGCAGUAGGUUGUUCUGAGUUGCUUGAACACACUGAAUUGUUGUACUUUCACGUAAGCCAGAGUUAUGUGUCACAAUUAAUGUCGGGUCAAGAGUGAAUGUUUUGUUUGCCAAUAUUGUAUGUAUGUGCUUCCACAAUUUUGAAAAAUGCCCUUUUGCAGGUUGUUUUGAGUUGCUUGAACACACUGAAUUGUUGUACUUUCACGUAUAUAUUAAGCCAGAAUGGCCAGUUAUGUGUCACAAUUAAUGUCGCCUUAAGAGUGAAUGUUUUGUUUGCCAAAAUUGUAUAUAUAUGUGCUUCCACAAUUUUGAAAAAUGCCCUUUUGCAGGUUGUUUUGAGUUGCUUGAACACACUGAAUUUUUUUGUACUUCCACGUAAUAUAUAUUAAGCCAGAAUGGCCAGUUACAGUACAUGUCACAAUUAAUGUCGCCUUUAGAGUGAAUGUUUUGUUUUGCCAAAAUUGUAUGUGCUUCCACAAAUUGUUAUACUAUGAGAAAAUAAAAAGUAAUACGGCUGACUGAUAA